CCUGGUAGCUCAGUCAGUAAAGAAUCUGCCUGCAAUGCAGGAGACCCAGGUUCGAUCCCUGGGUCAGGA
RNAcentral lists this transfer RNA (69 nucleotides) under Capra hircus (goat). It matches the Rfam family "tRNA". From Rfam's summary of the family: Transfer RNA (tRNA) molecules are approximately 80 nucleotides in length. RNAcentral also lists the same sequence under 1 other name. Lineage: Eukaryota; Metazoa; Chordata; Mammalia; Artiodactyla; Bovidae. The record is from Rfam by way of RNAcentral.